This 253-nucleotide ribosomal RNA is filed under the name uncultured bacterium. RNAcentral's name for it is "partial 16S ribosomal RNA". It matches the Rfam family "Bacterial small subunit ribosomal RNA", at positions 524 to 776 of the family's 1533-position model. The record is from RNAcentral.
UACGUAGGGUGCGAGCGUUGUCCGGAAUUAUUGGGCGUAAAGAGCUCGUAGGCGGUUUGUUGCGUCUAUCGUGAAAACCUGCAGCUUAACUGUGGGCUUGCGGUGGAUACGGGCAGACUUGAGUUCGGUAGGGGAGACUGGAAUUCCUGGUGUAGCGGUGAAAUGCGUAGAUAUCAGGAAGAACACCCGUGGCGAAGGCGGCUCUCUGGAACGCAACUGACGCUGAGACGCGAAAGCGUGGGGAGCAAACAGG